Molecule: non-coding RNA, 82 nt
Filed under: Paenibacillus swuensis
Lineage: Bacteria; Bacillati; Bacillota; Bacilli; Caryophanales; Paenibacillaceae
Description: ZTP sequence
Rfam family: ZMP/ZTP riboswitch aptamer (pfl RNA motif)
About the family: Previously known as pfl RNA. ZMP is also known as AICAR.
Source: Rfam by way of RNAcentral
GAACCCCGGUGUAACUGGCGACGAGGUGGAUGAAACCACGGUGGAGCAUCGGGUCAUACGGCCGGUCGCCUGGGCAAAGAGC